Long non-coding RNA from Micropterus dolomieu (smallmouth bass), 1371 nucleotides. RefSeq lists it as uncharacterized. The record is from RefSeq and is a predicted model, not a curated record. The transcript has 3 exons. Lineage: Eukaryota; Metazoa; Chordata; Actinopteri; Centrarchiformes; Centrarchidae.
GUGUUCUUACCUUGCUGUUGUGAAGCAGAUGGCAUGUUAGUAAAUCCUUUAGGAAAAAUUGGUAACAGCAGGACACUUUCGCCUGUAAGUGCGCCGUUGCCAGUUGACCGUUGGAGGCCAAUAAAUUCGCUAGCGUUAGCUGGCUAACAGCGUGUAGCAGCGGAGGCUAACAUUAGCAGCAGAGAGAACAGCACUAACGCGGUUAUUUCCUCUGGAAAGUCGUCCCGAAGCGCCAUGUUCAGGCUUAUUAAAUACCACAGAAGCAACAGUGUCAAGAUGACCUUUUUCAGUUGAUGGAUGCCAAAGUUACAGUGAUCUCUUGUGGACUGGCAGUGACUUUUAACAUCCGAUGUGACAGCUAGAUUUUCUGAUUAUUCAGAGUACAUCAAGAGCCUGUCAAGGUCAGUAUUUCACAUUUCUUCCUGAAGACCGCUUCAUACCAGCCAGAUUCAGCUUUUUCUGGAUCCAUAUCAUCAUGCGCCCAGUCGAUGGUUCCUGCUAGUGUAGGAACAUGGGUAGCACCACAGGGAGAAUGACCUUUUCAGCCAUGUGUCACCUGCCCAUGAUGCUCCAGGUGGUCCUCUCAGCAUAGCGUGUCUGAAUGUCUAUGUCAUGAUGCUCCAGUGAAGCAACACUGAAGGAAAUAGGAUCACAGCAAAGUAUUAGACUCAAGCACACACACACACAUUCACAGAUACGCUUUUAUUUUAUUUUUAUUCAUCUGCAGUUGGCAAGUGUUUGGUUUAAAGAGAAGGCAUUUAGACAGUUGGUAUUAAAGCUGCACAAGGCGAAAGUUGGCAGCACAAAGACAGGCAAAAUAUCAAACCUUGGUGAGGCCAGCUCAAUGUGGAAAGAACAAUCCUUCUACUGUUCAGGAAAAAGUUUGCUCUUUUAUAUGAUUAAUUAAUUAUUGGUAGAACCAUUCACAAUAGGUUAUAAGCUGACACUAUCAAGAAUUAUCAGAUGCUCUGAGAAGUGUUUGAAGUCGCAAGAAACCAAAUUCAUAUUUACCCCUUUAAAGCAUCAAUGAUUUUUUGUUGUUUGCCUUUGGGUUUGAUUAUCAGGACAUUGAAAGCUAACGGCCACUUUUCUCUGUUGUGAAACAGUUCUGAUGCAGAUCCAAUUUGUUUUUAGUAGGGCACAUUUUUUGUUAUUUAAAUCUUUUUUGUUUUAACCAUGAAUCUUACUUUUAGAUUUACUGCCAGGGGACAUCACCCACACAAAGACCUUUAGCUGUUGUAGCGGCGAAUCCAGUGGUCUAACUGCAACACUUUUGAACACAAGACUAAAUGUAACUGUCAUCCUGUUGUUUUAUUUGCAAAAAUACAAUGCAUCCAAAAAUUGUAUUAGCAAUAAACAUAUUAAAAAAUA